UUUAUUGCAUCCUUUGCCUACAAAGGAAAAAGAAGGGUUAAAGGGUUGAUAAUAGAAUAGGAAAGGCAGAGGACCUUCUUAACCCCGGCACUCCUCUUCCACCACGACGGGUCACCCGUUUCUUCCCCCCUCCUGCCGGGAACUUUAUCGUCGUUGAUGGCAAGAAGGAUAUCACUGAGAAGGGGAAAGCCCGUUCCGGUGGCGCACAGGCAGCACUGAUGCGAACCGGCAGCCGCAGAAAGGCAGCAAGGGGAGGAGAAAGCAACGCAGCAUCCAGCUAUCUGCUAAGGAGAAGUUUUCGGACGCCUACAGGAGAGUCAGUGAUCA
RNAcentral lists this long non-coding RNA (327 nucleotides) under Elaeis guineensis (African oil palm). Its description in RNAcentral is "long non-coding RNA (EGUI_LNC055041)". Lineage: Eukaryota; Viridiplantae; Streptophyta; Magnoliopsida; Arecales; Arecaceae. The record is from RNAcentral.